UCCACGCAUAUGAAAAAUGAGGUAUAAAUGUGAACCUUGUGUCCAUUAUCUCUCUUUUGGUGCUUCUUCUUGUUUUUAAAGGUAAUCAGUGUACACUAUCACAAAUUGCAUGGGCAAGGUGGUCGAGAAGCCUAACUGAUAAAGUCUUAUUUGGCUGCUUUCUAUCUCCAAAACAUAUUUUUCCUUCUGUUUCGUUGGAGAUUUGAACUAUGAUGCAUUGGUUCUUGUACAAUUGUUGACGCUUGAAAAUGUCAGACUAAAAGAGUGCUGAAUCCCAUAGCUUGUACAAAUCAGAGUUAAAGAUUCCUGGCAUUUGAAAAGCAUAUAGUUAUAUACUGAAACAAUAUCAAGUUCAUUCUAUGUCUGAGCUUUCAAAAUUCAAAAAAUGAAUAUAAACUUAAAAACAUGUUGGAGAUAAAUAUUAAUGACCUGAAUUGUCUGAGUAUUUGUUAAAUCUUUAUUUGAUGCAAUUCCGUCCUGACUCCAUCAUUAGAGCAUGCUAAAUCUCUGGAGCUGUCAAGCGUUAGUGUCUAAUGUGUUCUCUUCAUUAAUAUUUUACUUACUGAAAAGGUACUGACAUGGAUACUUCACUCAAAAUUCUAGUUACUCUACAGUUCAAAAUGGCUACAUAUACCAAAUGUGCCCUAAAAAAUCCUCCAUUUAAAAAAAAAGACUUUUUCAGCAUUGUUUUGUUGUGUUUGACAUGAGUUCAUCUUGUUCAAACAAUUGAUCUUGGACUUCCAAUUUCAGGUUAAGGAGAUCAUGUAUCGCAUCUACAAAGCCACAAAGAGCAGCCUUAGAAGCAUGGCCCCUAAAGAAAUAAAGCUACUUAAGCAUUUGCUGAACAUUGCAGAUCCUGAGGAGCGAUUUUCAGCAUUAGCAACAGCAUUCUGUCCAGGUGAUGAACGUGAAGCCAAGGACCCUUAUGCUUUAUACACUACUCCAAAAGAACUGCACAAGUGGAUUAAGAUCAUGCUUGAUGCAUACCAUCUCAA
This 995-nucleotide unclassified non-coding RNA is filed under the name Hevea brasiliensis (rubber tree). Lineage: Eukaryota; Viridiplantae; Streptophyta; Magnoliopsida; Malpighiales; Euphorbiaceae. The record is from RNAcentral.